AUGUAUUGGGGCAACAAAAAGAAACUGGAACGAGAAGUGAAGAAACAGGCCGAGGAGAUAGAGAGCUUGAAGGCUCAACUCUUAGAGUCCCUACAAGAAAACCAGAAGCUUAAGGGCGGCAUAUUUGGUAUGUUGACCGGCAGUCCCGAGGAUCAAAUACAUGUCCUCCAGAGAGACAUUCUGAAGGAGCUGGCAAAGCUGCACGAGCGUGCUCGGAAGGCUAUGAAGAAUAUGGUAAAAGCCUUAUGGCCUUCCGAAGUCCCUCUAGAAGAUAUGGAGGGGUUGGCUGAUCUAUUCAAGGGCGCCCACCGUCAGUUCGAGCUGUGGAAGACAUCUACGUGUUGUGAAGGCGCUCGAGAGACAUGGGCCAUGGUGUAG
This 378-nucleotide ribosomal RNA is filed under the name Triticum aestivum (bread wheat). Its description in RNAcentral is "partial small subunit ribosomal RNA". Lineage: Eukaryota; Viridiplantae; Streptophyta; Magnoliopsida; Poales; Poaceae. The record is from RNAcentral.